CCUACGGGUGGCAGCAGUGGGGAAUAUUGCACAAUGGGGGAAACCCUGAUGCAGCGACGCCGCGUGAGUGAAGAAGCGCCUCGGCGCGUAAAGCUCUGUCAGCAGGCACGACGAUGACGGUACCUGAAGCAGAAGCCCCGGCUAACUCCGUGCCAGCAGCCGCGGUAAUACGGGGGGUGCAAGCGUUGUCCGGAAUCAUUGGGCGUAAAGCGUUCGUAGGCGGCAAGGUAAGUCUGAUGUUAAAGCCCGGGGCUCAACUCCGGUUCUGCAUUGGAUACUAGCUAGCUAGAAUGUGGUAGAGGUAAAGGGAAUUCCUGGUGUAGCGGUGAAAUGCGUAGAUAUCAGGAGGAACAUCGGUGGCGAAAGCGCUUUACUGGACCAUUAUUGACGCUGAGGAACGAAAGCCAGGGGAGCAAAUGGGAUUAGAUACCCGAGUAGUC
Molecule: ribosomal RNA, 440 nt
Filed under: uncultured bacterium
Lineage: Bacteria
Description: partial 16S ribosomal RNA
Rfam family: Bacterial small subunit ribosomal RNA
Source: RNAcentral